ACAAACUAUUAUUUAUGCUGUUAGACGGAUAGCUUGGUUUUGGUAAUGACAACGGACGUGGCAAGCUGCGAUAAGCUCGAGGGAGUUGCACGCAAACACUGAUCUCGAGAUCUCCAAUUAUUCCGAGAGGAAAAAUCACGCCGGGAAUUGAAACGUCUUAGUACCGGCAGGAAAAGAAAAUAAAUAAUUAUGCCCCUAUUAGCAGCGAGCGAAAAGGGCACAGGGCAAACUGAAUCUCCUUUUGAAAAGAAGGCAGAGAUGUGGUGAGUAAUUAUGCCUAAAUGAACGGAUCAAAUUUUCUGGAAAGAAAGACCUUAGAGGGUGAUAGUCCCGUAGAUGAAGUUCAGAUGGUGUUUCUCAAAGAGUAGGGCGUUCCUGAUUGAACGUCUGAAUAUGGCAGGAUUAACUGCUAACCCUAAAUAUAACCAAAGACCGAUAGCGCACUAGUACCGCGAGGGAAAGCUGAAAAGUACUCUUAACAGAGGGUGAAAAGAUUUGAAAUCUAACAGCUACAGAUUGUUACUGCUCGACGCAUCUUGCGAUGCGUUGGGUUGUAAGGUACGUUUUGAAGAACGGGCCAGGGAGUUUUUUUAUGUGGCGAGACUAACUUUUUAUAAAAGGUAAUCGGAGCGAAAGCAAGUCUGAAAGGGCGAUAGUCACAUGGGGAAGACUCGAAGCCGGAUGAUCUAUUCAUGAGCAAGGCGAAGUCUGCCGAAAGGCGGAUGGAAGCCUGAACUAGUGUUACGGACAUAUACUUGGAUGACUUGUGAAUAGGGGUGAAAAGCCUAUCUAAUUCGGCGAUGUCUGGUUCCUGCUGAAAUAUACCUCAGUAUAGUCUUGUUUAGUUUGUCAGUGGUGUAAAGUACGGAUAAAUUUUGCAGGGACAAUUGUCUACGGAAAUUUUUCCAACUCAGAAGCUAUUGACUGCGUAAAACAAGAAAUAGGGUCGGUGCGUAAGGUACCGCUCCAAGACCGGAACAACGGAGACCAGAGUUAAGGUCCCUAAAUUAUGUUAAGUGCAUCAAAAAGUGUCUUGAACCUGAGACAGUAGGGAUGUAAGCUCAGAAGCAGCUAUCAUUCAAAGAAAGCGUAACAGCUCACCUAUCGAGGUUCAGGGCCUUGAAAAUGGACGGGGCUAAACAUAAUACCGACACUCUGGAGGCGCUCAGAUGAGCGUGCUGGUAAGCAGGCGUGGUUUUCGUGCAGAAGGUUUUUCGAGAGAAAGGCUGGAACGAAAACUAAUGAGAAUCCUGGUAAUAGUAGGAUGUGACUUUCCUGAGAACGGAAAGUAUCGUAAGAGCAAGGUUUUCUUGGCAAUAUUCGUUAGCCAAGAGUUAGUCAGUGCCUUAGUUGUCUCCUAACCGAAGAUGACGAUGGAAAACAGGUUAAUAUUCCUGUACUGAUAAUUUUUAUACAAUAUUUGCUUUCGGAUAAGCGAGCACUCGAGAGAGUGUUUUUGCAGAGAAAUUUGACGAGCGUAAUGCUAAAACUCAGAAUAAUCUGCUGGACAAAAUUGCUGAUUCCAGGAGCCAGUGAAAAAAAUAUUGUUCAUGAAGUUAUCAACUGUACCCAUAACCGACACUGGUGCUCUAGCUGAGAAGGCUAAGAUAUGAAAGGGAAAACCAGUUAAGGGAAUUCGGCAUAUUAGUCCUGUAGCUUCGGCUUAAGGGAUGUCUAUCUUUGUGUCUUGUUUCUUCGGAAGUGUGAUGCAUCGGUAGAUCUCAGUAACAAAGAUGGCCCGACUGUUUACCAAAAACGUAGCCAAGUGCUAAUCUGAGAAGACUUGUAUACUUGGUGAGACCUGCCCAGUGGUGGUGUCUGAAACUCCUUUUCAAGGGAGCUAAUGCCCAUCAAACGGCGGGGGUAACUAUGACCCUCUUAAGGUAAAACUAUGUAUGAAUUGCCUUAGUAAAAUCGAACUAAAUGCUGGAAAGUCUGGAGAAUCCGAUAGUACUUGAUGAAUGCUGUUCAUUCUAUUCACAGGUUGAUUGAAAAUUAAUGUAAAUCCAAAGUUUAUUAUUAACAUUAGAUUAAUCGAGCGAGUUUACGAGUGAGCAAUAUUAUCAGUAAAAAUCUAUUCGGUGCAGAUAAUCAGCAGGAAAGAUUUCUUAAUCAAUAAGAAAAAUCCUCAGAGACUAUACGUUCGAACUCGAAAGAGUAAGAUAUAGUCCGAACUGAAUAGCGAUAUUCAGAAUUAAUCAGAAAUGAUUAAUCUCCAAGAAUUUUCUUGGUAGUAACAUAAUUGAGCGUAAUGCCUUGUCGUCUGAAUGGCGACGUGCAUGAAUGGUUUAACGAGGUUGUCACUGUCCCUAACUGGAGCCUUCUGAAAAUAUCGCGUGGAUGCACACACCACGGAUACCUAGUGGGAAGUGAAGACCUUGUGGAACUUUACUGCAACUUGUUGUUGUGAUUUUAAGAGAAGUGCAUAGAAUAGGUAGGAGCGUUUGAGUCCAUCUUUUUGGAGGUGGAGGAGCAAAAAUGUAAUACUACUCAUUUUUCUUAGGAUUGCUUACUCUUCUUAGAGAACAGCAGCAGGCGGGCAGUUUGGCUGGGGCGGCGCCCUGUUGAAAACAUAUCAAUAGGACCCAAUGACAAACUCAUCUAGCUUGGAAAUCUAGAGUUGAGUGCGAAGGCAAAAGUUUGUCUGACUGUAUUCUGAACAAUAAGGAAUGCAGAGGCGAAAGCCGGGCUUAGCGAACCCACGUGCUUUUUUAAUAGAAGCCGUGUCUGAUAGAAAAGUUACCCCAAGGAUAACGGGCUUGUCGCGCCCGAUAGUUCAUAUUGACGGCGCGGUUUGGUACACAGCUGUCGGCUCUUCCUAUCCUGGUCGUGCAGAAGCGACCAAGGGUGUCGGAGUUCACGCAUUAAAAGGGAUCGUUAGCUGGGUUAAGAACGCUGCGAGGCAGUUUGUAUAAUAUCUCCUAGGUAUGUUGUUGAGUGAGUGGAACGAGUCAGUAGUACGAGAGGAACCUGACUCGGAUGCCUCUGGUGAGCAGUUGUCAUUUUGGCAGGCUGCAUAGCUACGCAUUGUAUGGAUAAGAACUGAAUGCAUCUAAGUUUGAAGCCAUCCGCAAAACGACUCAACUAAGGCCGUUGUAGAAGACGACGUUGAUAGAGUCCUUGUGUAAGACAAAAGCUUCGGCGAUUGUUUCAGCAUAGGACUACUAAAAGCCUUAAUAAAUAGUUUUU
RNAcentral lists this ribosomal RNA (3189 nucleotides) under Nanobdellota archaeon. Its description in RNAcentral is "23S ribosomal RNA". It matches the Rfam family "Archaeal large subunit ribosomal RNA". Lineage: Archaea; Nanobdellati; Nanobdellota. The record is from RNAcentral.